RNAcentral lists this ribosomal RNA (494 nucleotides) under uncultured bacterium. RNAcentral's name for it is "partial 16S ribosomal RNA". It matches the Rfam family "Bacterial small subunit ribosomal RNA", at positions 28 to 507 of the family's 1533-position model. The record is from RNAcentral.
GACGAACGCUGGCGGCGUGCUUAACACAUGCAAGUCGAACGGUGAAGCGCCUUCCUUUUUGGUGGGUGUGGAUGAGUGGCGAACGGGUGAGUAACACGUGAGUAACCUGCCCCCUUCUUCUGGAUAACCGCAUGAAAGUGUGGCUAAUACGGGAUAUUCUGGGUCUGUCGCAUGAUGGGUCUGGGAAAGAUAUUGUUUCGGUGGGGGAUGGGCUCGCGGCCUAUCAGCUUGUUGGUGGGGUGAUGGCCUACCAAGGCGGUGCCGGGUCGCCGGCCUGGGAGGGUGGACGGUCACACUGGGACGGAGACACGGGCCAGACUCCGACGGGAGGCAGCAGUGGGGAGUAUGGGACAAUGGGCGGAAGCCUGAUGCAGCGACGCCGCGUGAGGGAUGGAGGCCUUCGGGUUGUGAACCUCUUUCGCCAGUGAAGCAGGCUUGCCUCGUUUGUGGGUGGGUUGACGGUAGCUGGAUAAGAAGCGCCGGCUAACUACGUG